Molecule: RNA transcript, 8976 nt
Organism: Triticum aestivum (bread wheat)
Lineage: Eukaryota; Viridiplantae; Streptophyta; Magnoliopsida; Poales; Poaceae
Gene name: pentatricopeptide repeat-containing protein At4g21065
Exons: 5
Source: RefSeq, a predicted model, not a curated record
UGCAAAAUAUCGCAAUUCGCCUGGCUAAAUUUCGAAAGUUGCCAGUUCUGCUUGCAUUGUGCACGGCUUCGCUUCAGAACGCACAUGUUUGCGCCGUAGAGGAACCAGUUUGAGCUCGAGCGCAAGCAGCGAAGGUCAAAACCCGCAGGACCCACGGCUCGCCUGCAAUGCGUUCGAGCAAAUGCCGCCCCGGCCCCCGCUCCGCUCGCCUCCGAGCCGCGGUCCUUACACCACCGCGCCGCCGUCGCCGCCGCGCGCGGCCGAGCAGCACUGCCUCCGCCUCCUGAAGCGCGCCACGACGCCGGCGUCGCUCCUCCAGCCCCUGGCAUUCCUCCUCAAGUGCGGCCUCCACUCCAACCCGCUCGUCCUCACCAGGCUCUUCGCGGCCGCGGCCUCCGCCGCGCCCGCGCUCCUCGAGCCCCUCGUCGCGGCGCUCCUCCGCCCUGGCCUCCCGCUCGACGCCUUCCUCCUCAACACCCUCAUCCGCGCCCACGUCGCGUCCCCGCUCCCCUCCGCGCGCCGCAGCGCCGCGGCCUUCUUUCCGCUCAUGCUCCGCCGCGGCGUCGCCCCCAACAAGUUCACCUUCCCGUUCCUCCUCAAGUCCUGCGCGGCGACGCCGGGGUCCCCGGACGCCGGCCUCCAGGCCCACGCCGCCGCCCUCAAGUUCGGGUUCGCCGCCGACCACUACGUCUCCAACACGCUCAUACACAUGUACUCCUGCUUCGGGGCCGGGUUCCUCGGGGACGCUCGGAACGUGUUCGACAGAACGCCCAAGGACAGCGCCGUCACCUGGAGCGCCAUGAUGGGGGGGUACGUGCGUGGCGGGCUGUCGAGUGAUGCCGUCGUGCUGUUCCGGGAGAUGCAGGCCAGUGGUGUGCGACCCAAUGAGGUGACGGUGAUUGGGGUCCUUUCGGCCGCCGCUGAUUUGGGCGCGCUCGAGCUCACGCGCUGGGUUGAGCGGUUUGUGGAGAUGGAGGGAAUUGGGAGGUCUGUGACGCUUUGCAAUGCGCUGAUCGACACGCUCGCCAAGUGCGGGGAUGUCGAUGGGGCAGUGGCUGUGUUCGAGGGGAUGGAGGAGCGGACUGUUGUGUCAUGGACGUCGGUGAUUGAUGCGCUUGCGAUGGAGGGUCGUGGGAAAGAGGCUGUGGCGGUGUUCGAAGAAAUGAAGGCUGUUGGAGUGCCACCUGAUGAUGUCGCAUUCAUUGGGGUGCUCACUGCAUGUAGCCAUGCUGGAAUGGUUGAUGAAGGCCGUGGCUACUUUCACUCAAUGAAGACAGAGCAUGGUAUUGAGCCUAAGAUUGAGCAUUAUGGUUGUAUGGUUGACAUGUUUGGUCGUGCUGGCAUGGUCGAGAAGGGGUUGGAGUUUGUCCGUGCGAUGCCCAUGAAACCAAACCUAAUAAUUUGGCGGACUCUGGUUGCUGCUUGUCGUGCUCAUGGUCGGCUCGAGCUUGGCGAAAGUAUCAGCAGGGACCUUCUCAACGAGUACCCAGCUGAUGAGGCCAACUACGUCAUGCUCUCCAACGUGUUCGCGUUGACGCAGAGAUGGAAGGAGAAGUCAGAGAUUAGGAGAGAGAUGAGUAAGAGAGGAAUUACGAAGGUGCCAGGCUGCAGCAUUGUUGAGCUUGAUGGUGAGGUCCAUGAGUUCAUAGCAGGAGAUGAGUCGCAUCCGCAGUACAAGGAGAUAUACAGGAUGGUUGAGGAGAUGUCAAGAGAGCUAAGGCGCAUUGGGCAUAUUGCAGCUACAUCAGAGGUCCUCCUUGACCUCGAUGAGGAGGACGAGGGUGCGCUUCAGUGGCACAGCGAGAAGCUGGCGAUUGCAUUUGUGCUCCUGAGGACUCCUCCUGGAACACAGGUCCGGGUGGUAAAAAACCUACGUGUAUGCUCCGAUUGUCAUGCGGCGAUUAAGUGCAUAUCGCAGGUUUAUAACCGGGAGAUCAUAGUGCGUGAUAGGAGCCGUUUCCAUCGCUUCAAGGAUGGUUCCUGCUCGUGCAAGGAUUUCUGGUGAUUGCAAUUGUGUUUCACCAGGUUAUCCUGUUUCUGAUGGUGCAGUGAAGGGUGGAUUGAACUUCAACGGCACGUGCAGGCGAUCGUGAACUCAUGAUGUAUUUUCGAGGAACUUCUGCAAGUCCUCGAGGGGCAGAUAAAUGUGUCUCCAAAUCUUGUGCUCUCUCAGUGGCCUCUCUGAGUUUCUUUGGCACUGUUCUAAGCCUUGUGUACUGAAUGUCUCAUCAGCACACAUUCAAGGACUAAGAUUUCCUACAAAAACCUAGACCAUCGUGAGAACAUUUCUAAUGUGUACCCCAGCUUGCAUCAUGGGCAGAUAAAUGCAUGUCUUCUGCUCUCUCAGUGGCCUCCCUGAGUUUCUUUGGCACUAUUCUAAGCCUUUCCUCAACUAUCUCAUUCCCCAUUGCUUCUUCAUUCAUGCAGUGAGUUUGUAACUUACUAUGCAUCUAUGAACUGUCUGCCACCAAUGCUUUGAAGCUUUCCCUGUUCUUGUACGCCCUUGCCUUCUCAUUAUUGCAGGGAGCUGUUAAGUCAAUCUCAGCCUCCUUGCGCAAGUGAUCGCAUCAUCAUUCACUACAGGGACUACAUGGAGUUGGCUUAAAUAUACCUGAAGCAGUAUUACAAGUCCAGCUUACAUUUGGCACGAUGGCAAUUGGCAAAUGCCGGAAUUCAACUGCACGUUUUCACUUUCCAUGCCCAUGCAGUAUGAAGCGGAAAGUAUCUUGAGCAUGGCGCUUGGGCGGUGUGGCUCGUUUUUUUUUAAGAAUGGUUUCUGCCUUUCUGGUCAUGGAAAUUUACGAUUCACAGAGUUGCUGCCAAUCAAGAAGGGUGCUGCCAUGCUUCAAUGCACAAAAUGCUAUGUUGACAUGCUAGCAUGGACCACUCAUGUUUGGCUUAAACAUGGGAAGGAAAUUACAACCAGCUGACGGGCCGAAGCAUCCAUGUCUCCAGCUAGGCUCUCCACAAUAUGCACAAGAAGCAGAGGACCUUGUCAACUUCAAAGUCAUAUUGCGCAGUCUAUUUGCCGGUUCUGAUGGCGGUGAGGGUGACGCAGCCUUGUUCCUAACUUUCUGGAUGGUGUCAGCAAAGUGCGCUAGCAUGAUAGGAUUUGAUGUCUCGCAGUUUUGUGAUGUCAAUGGCUAUGCUAAUCUUAGCCAAGGCUUAGCCUUUGCACAAGCUUAAUCAGUUCCUGGAGCUCUUGAUCAGCUGCCGUUUCAGCCAAGAAAACAUCCACUUUGACAAGAAGCUCCUCUGGUGAUGUCAACACAUGCGGUGAAUCCCCAAACUGACCUGACGAUUGGUGGUAACCACACGUCGCCUCCAUUGAGGAUCAAUGAGGCUUCUAGUCUGAGCAAUCCUAUGAACUCCCUGAUGUUCUUCGACGCCUUUUCAAGUGCUUUCACUGUGCUCUCCAGCUUGUCCUCAGCGCUAGAGAAGAGCGCCACCGAAGCGGUGCGGAUGCAUCAUGCCAUGCUGGACCACACAUUUCUCGUGAAAUACAGUGGUAAUACCAGCACCAUGCUGGUCAUCAUUGUUCCAGUGAGUGGCUUUGUCUGUUGCAUGAUGUUUGAACCUGAGAAGCACCUCGUCACCAUGGGCGGCAGCCUCCUUGAGCUUCUCCAGCCACUGGACCAGCGUGGUACUUUUUAUGGUCUGCUUCGCUCACACCUCGACCGCGCUGCGAAUCCUCAUGAGGAGCAGCUUCUCAUCAGCGGCCAUCUGCCAGUUGAAGUUCUACAUGAACUUGGACACUGCCCUGUCCUGUCACCACGGCGGCCACUGCUGCGGCAAUGGUGGCAACCACUUGUGCCAUGGCUAGCUCUCAAACAAGGUAUGUGACUAACUAGAGUCUCUCAAAUCUAUAAAUACAUAUAAUUAAGGACUGUUCUGAGUGUCCCCCAUCGCAAAAUGUAAAAUUAAGUAGUCAGUGAGUGUAUGAGACUGUGGAAACAACAAGUUAUGGACAUAGUUGGUGUCAGCCACCCUAAGGUCGACUGACACUAAGAAAAAAAACAUGGAAUUUGUUCGACGGACACAGCAACACCAAGCUGUCAAAGUAUUGCACAUCCCAAGACAGCCUGUCCCCAGUACGCACGAAACUGCAGAGAUCAUCUGCUUCAUUAUCAGAGCAAGCCGCUGUCUCGUUUCCACCUUUACCUUCGACGUGUGCCAGUGAUAGGUGUAGACAACUUUGUUGUUGCCACUAUCUACAGCCUCCCACUGGAUGGUCACCCACUGUGACGGCCAUACGAAGCCUUCCAAGUAGCACCUCUCUGAGCAUUCCCACAAGCUUCCUUUGUUCCAUUAUUAGCAUGUCUUCUAAUUUAAAGAGAAAAUACUUUUUACAAUGGAUCUAGACUUCCUGUCUUAUUAUUGAGGUGAGCCGCCUUGACAUGAUAACAACAAGUUAGCAUCUUGAACACAUGUAUACCAAUUUGCCGAAGCAUUCCACGGCCCUGGCUAAGCCCUCCAUACUAUGCACGAAACUGCUGAAUUGAUCUCUCUCUUGAUCUUGAUCACAUUUCACCAUUGGCUCGUUAUCUUUGGCUCUCAGUGUUUUGCGAGCGCUGAUGGUGCCAAGAACGACACAGCCUUUUAUCUUGGCCUCCCUUAGGAUGUCAGCCCAGUAUGCGAGCCACUUCAUGUCCCCAAGGUCGUGGCUAUCUGCCAGCUCGACGGUCUUGCAGAUAUUGGCAAACCCUUCCUCAAGCUUGUCAAGGAGCAUUUCACACUGUUCCUUCUGGAUAGCUGCCGUUUCAUUGAUCGAAAGAUUGAUCAAUUUGUUCACUACCGCAUCCUCCACGCACGGAGCUGAAAUUUUUGUGUCUUCCUCAUCUAAUUUGAGGCCAAAUAAUCUGCACCCUGAAUUUCUUGUGAUCCUCAUCUUUUUUCUUGGUCUAUGCUCUGUUGUUGGAGCCUCCAUACUCUCGGUAGAUGUUAGAUCUACCUUUGCCCAGUCCUCAAGCUGAAACAAUCUUAUGAACUCUCUGAUUUCUAUGGAGAGCUGCUCUAACAUGUCCAGUGUACUGUUCAGCUUUUCCAUGUCUUUGUCACUCGAAAACAGCACCUGGGUUGCGUCGCGGAUGCCCUGCACCAUGCCCAACAUAGAUUUACUUGUGAAAGACAGAGCACCUGUAGCUCUAGCAGAAGCAGCACUAGAAGAAGAGGAUGAGCCUUGCUGCUGGUUGGUGUCAACGCCCCUUGUGGCUUCAGCGUCUUCCGCCUUGCGUAUGAAGCUGGCAAGCACUUCGUCGCCUUGUGAGGCUGCUUCCUUUAGCUUUUCGCGCCAUCGAAGGAGCCACAAAUUCUUGAUGGUGCGCUUCUCUGACGCCUCAACCGCGCUGUGGAUCUUGAUUAGCAGCAUCUCCAGCCGCUGCAGCUUCUCUCCGGCAGCUGCCUGCUUACCAAACAUCUGUAUCAGCCCCGACAACACUCUGCUGGUGAGCUCCCCGGUUACAGCAGAGGCCAUAGGGUAAACUGUCUGUUCUGCCAUGGCCAUGGAAAUGGAGGAAAGGAGAGAAAGUGUUAGCAACAAGAAUGCUAACUUGUGCUCAUAGGUUGUAUCACCUUUAUAAGGACCUGUACUGUACAAGAAACCAAAAAAAAAGUAACAGAAUUUUUGGCUGUGGAUAGUUUGUCUGGUUAGAGGCCUACAUGGCGGAAAAAAAAGUCCUGCAAGAUAUUUUUUUUGAAUGAUCCGGCAAAUGCUGGCUUUGACGUAUUAGCACAUAGCAAAAGGAUAAAAGAUCAGAGUAAAGGAAAUAAACUUUGAAUAAAAGGACAGAGCCCAGAGAAAGUCUGGUUCAGGGCAACUCCCAGAUGAUCGGCAUCAGGCCCACCCGCCAGCCGCCAGAGCUCAGCCAAUCACCUAAUGGCCAGGAUAACCUGAGUCGACGAGAGCUACUUGUCAUUGAAAAUCCUCCGAUUAUUUCAAGCCAGAGCUCCCAUGAAACGAGAAUGAAAAGCGACUUGUUUCCUUUGAUGCACAUACUGCCAGAAUUACUAAUAGCUUGAGACGGGACAAAGAUAGUAGUUAGGCCAUCCCCUCCGCAUCAGCCUGUCGGCGCACCACAGCCAGUCCUCAAACAGCAAGGUCUCUAAGAUUAGCUUGCACUUAAUUUGUAUCAUCCAUGUACCGUUGUUACAGGUCAAAUGGAUUACACUUCACAGAACAAAGUUUGCUAAUGAAAAUACGAAUUCUGAGGUAUAAACUACGAAUUCUGAGGUAUAAACUCGAGUAUCAUAGCAUGCCAAGAGCUUGAGAAGUUUUAUUAAUCUGUAAUGAAAACACAAACUCGUUUUGGUCGUAAAAGGUGAUCGAACCAGCCAGAGACACUGAAUUCACAGAAGCACAACAUUAACAGUUCUAUGCGCAACAAUAAAUGUCGGCACCAAUCUGAGUUCAGACACCAUGUUAAUGCGAUCUUUAGAUCCAAGACCUUAACCUUCUCCAAGGCUGUGCGGCGCACAGAUAUAGUAGGCAGACCUUUUGAUCCAGCUGAAGACUCACGAGAAGUUAUCGGCAGAUGGCAGGGUGUUCGUUCUUAGAAUGCUGUUUACCUAUAGGACCCCACAAUCUGCCGGUAGCUUCUUGUGCGUCGAUAGCUGCAUUGCUCCUUGGUAACCAAUCAUUGCAGAACGAAAGAACCACUUGAUAUGGCUCAGGAAAUGGCAUGCAUGUAAUUUAUUCAAGAAAAAAAGGGCAUUUCUCAGCUAAAAAAAGAGGUGUUUUUGGAGUUGUAGCUUGCAACCACUCCUUGGUAGUUAUUUGUGUGGUGAUCUUACAGGAGAAGGUAAGAUGAUAAAUUGUAAAUGAAAAGGACAUGUAAAAUGACUACGGAGAAAACAUACCAAGGUAUUUAUUCAAGGAAAAAAAAUCAAGAGAUAAGUUAGAAAUGAAAGGCAACUUAGUUGCUGUCACCAUUGUUUUAAUCGCUCUGAGGCCAGAGAAUUUUUUUUUAGAAACAAACAAAUGAUGUGUGGUUGAUAUCUGUAUUAGAAUUGAAAGGAAUCUUUACAGCUUGCACAUUCUCAACAAUAGAAAGGAUAGUUAGGUAAGCCCUAUUGAUGACUCAGUAGAAGCGGGAAUAUAUAGUCAAACAUGCAACGUGAUUUGCAAAUGCAUGAAAAUUGGGCUUAUAAACGUGCAAAAGUUCUAAAAUAGUUAGGGAAUGCGUAUUGUGUAUCCAUAUAAAAAUUUCAAGACCAAAAUCAAUCAACCUUUUAAUAGGGAACAUAUAUUUUUUUCAAUACCUAUACUGUAACAGCUUUAAUCAGAAAAUAUUACAAAGUUACAAUCCAGAAAAAAGGAAAAAUCUCAGAAGUGUUUCCCUUUCGAUGCUUCCUACCAUCUUGGUUCCCAAACGCCUCAACUGCGCUGUGGAUCUUUGAUUAGCAGCAUCUCCAACCGCUGCAGCUUCUCUCCGACAACUUCCUGCUUACUGAACAUAUGUAUCAGCCCCUAGAACACUCUGCUGGUGAACUCCCUGGUUACAGCAGAGGCCAUAAAUAAACUUAAACUGUAUGUUCUGCGAUGGCUACAAACUCAUGUCAUAGAUUUUAUCAAUCUUACAAGGACCUACUGUACAAGAAACAUAAAAAAAAAGUAACAGAAGUUUUGGCUAGAUAGUUUAGACUUCAGAGAGAAAGGCUUGCAAGAUUAGCUGCGCUUAUUUUAUACCAUCUUCAUACCUUUCUUGUUACAGGUCCAAUGAUAUGCACUUAGUAUGCAGGAGUUACAGAACGAAGUUCAUUAACCAAAAUAUGGUUCUGAGUUAUAAACUCUAGUAUCAUAGCAUGCUAAGUGCUCGAGAAGGUCUAUUAAUCUGUAAUAAAAACACAAACUCAUUUUGCUUAUCAAAGAUGAUAAACCACAAAUAAAGGUCAGCACAAUCUGAGUUCAGACAUCAUGUUAAUAUGAUAUUUAGAUCCAAGAUCCUCACUUUCACCAAGGCUUUCCAGCACAAACAAAUUAGAGAAACCCUUUGAUCCAGCUGAAGACUUACGAGAAGUCAUCGGCAGAUGGCAGGGUGUUCUUGGAAUGAUAUUUUUAUCUCCAGACCCCCGCAAUCUGCCGGUAACUUCUCGUGCGUCGACAGCUGCAUUGCUCUUGAUAACCAAUCACCUCAGAACUAAAGAACCAGGCUCAAGAAAUGGCAUGGAAUUUAUUCAAGAGAACAUAUAUGGGCGCCUGUCAGCUCAAAGGAAGAGGUGCUGUGUUGGAGGUGUAGCUUGCGAUCACUCCUCGGUGGCUAUUUGUGUGGUGAUCUUAUGGAAAGGGUGAGAUAAUGAAAUAGUAAACGAAAAGGACAGCUAAAAAUGAAUAUGGAGAAAAGAGACCAUGAGACUCUGUGAACUACAAACAAAGAGAUAAGUUAGAAAGAAAAGACAACUUAGUUGCUGUCACCAUUGUUUUAAUCGCGCUGAAUGCUGGAGACAAAAGUUGGAAACAAACAAAUUACGUAUGGUUGGUAUCUGCAUUAAAACUGAAAGGCAUCUUUACAGUUUACACAUUCUCAAGAAUAAAAAGGACCAUAGGUAGGUCUUUUUGAUGAUUCAGCACAAGAUUUGGAUAUUUGGAGAUCUUGGCAACUGUUGUUUCAGGGAGGGAAUAUAUGGUUAAACAUGCCACAGUUGAUGCAAAUCCGUGAAAGUUGGGUUACAAACAUUUAAAAGUUCUAAAAGUAGCUACAAAAUGCAUAUUUGUAUCCACAUACCAUUUCAAAACAAAAAUCAAUCAAAUUUAACAGGGAGCAUAAAUUGCUUCAGUAUCAAAUUUGUAAACUGUAACAGCUGUAAUCAGAAAGCAAGACAAAGUUACACAACCCAGAAUGGAAAGAACUCACAGCAUUGGCACUGCCACCCAAAACUAUGUGGGGUCAACUCAAGCUAACCCUUCAAACUUUGUUGAAGUAUCAAAAGGAUGGAGGUAUUUUUAGCAAAAUCUACAUCUUGUACAUGGAAUUGCUGCUG